GACGAACGCUGGCGGCGUGCUUAACACAUGCAAGUCGAACGGAAAGGCCCUGCUUUUGUGGGGUGCUCGAGUGGCGAACGGGUGAGUAACACGUGAGUAACCUGCCCUUGACUUUGGGAUAACUUCGGGAAACUGGGGCUAAUACCGGAUAGGAGCUCCUGCUGCAUGGUGGGGGUUGGAAAGUUUCGGCGGUUGGGGAUGGACUCGCGGCUUAUCAGCUUGUUGGUGGGGUAGUGGCUUACCAAGGCUUUGACGGGUAGCCGGCCUGAGAGGGUGACCGGCCACAUUGGGACUGAGAUACGGCCCAGACUCCUACGGGAGGCAGCAGUGGGGAAUAUUGCACAAUGGGCGGAAGCCUGAUGCAGCAACGCCGCGUGCGGGAUGACGGCCUUCGGGUUGUAAACCGCUUUCGCCUGUGACGAAGCGUGAGUGACGGUAAUGGGUAAAGAAGCACCGGCUAACUACGUGCCAGCAGCCGCGGUGAUACGUAGGGUGCGAGCGUUGUCCGGAUUUAUUGGGCGUAAAGGGCUCGUAGGUGGUUGAUCGCGUCGGAAGUGUAAUCUAGGGGCUUAACCCUGAGCGUGCUUUCGAUACGGGUUGACUUGAGGAAGGUAGGGGAGAAUGGAAUUCCUGGUGGAGCGGUGGAAUGCGCAGAUAUCAGGAGGAACACCAGUGGCGAAGGCGGUUCUCUGGGCCUUUCCUGACGCUGAGGAGCGAAAGCGUGGGGAGCGAACAGGCUUAGAUACCCUGGUAGUCCACGCUGUAAACGGUGGGUACUAGGUGUGGGGUCCAUUCCACGGGUUCCGUGCCGUAGCUAACGCUUUAAGUACCCCGCCUGGGGAGUACGGCCGCAAGGCUAAAACUCAAAGGAAUUGACGGGGCCCCGCACAAGCGGCGGAGCAUGCGGAUUAAUUCGAUGCAACGCGUAGAACCUUACCUGGGUUUGACAUGGAUCGGGAGUGCUCAGAGAUGGGUGUGCCUCUUUUGGGGUCGGUUCACAGGUGGUGCAUGGCUGUCGUCAGCUCGUGUCGUGAGAUGUUGGGUUAAGUCCCGCAACGAGCGCAACCCUUGUUCACUGUUGCCAGCACGUUAUGGUGGGGACUCAGUGGAGACCGCCGGGGUCAACUCGGAGGAAGGUGGGGAUGACGUCAAGUCAUCAUGCCCCUUAUGUCCAGGGCUUCACGCGUGCUACAAUGGCUGGUACAGAGAGUGGCGAGCCUGUGAGGGUGAGCGAAUCUCGGAAAGCCGGUCUCAGUUCGGAUUGGGGUCUGCAACUCGACCUCAUGAAGUCGGAGUCGCUAGUAAUCGCAGAUCAGCAACGCUGCGGUGAGUACGUUCCCGGGGCU
This 1346-nucleotide ribosomal RNA is filed under the name uncultured bacterium. RNAcentral's name for it is "partial 16S ribosomal RNA". It matches the Rfam family "Bacterial small subunit ribosomal RNA", at positions 28 to 1381 of the family's 1533-position model. The record is from RNAcentral.